Molecule: ribosomal RNA, 253 nt
Filed under: uncultured bacterium
Lineage: Bacteria
Description: partial 16S ribosomal RNA
Rfam family: Bacterial small subunit ribosomal RNA
Source: RNAcentral
UACGUAGGGUGCGAGCGUUAAUCGGAAUUACUGGGCGUAAAGCGUGCGUAGGCGGUUCGCUGUGUCCGAUGUGAAAGCCCCGGGCUUAACCUGGGAAUGGCAUUGGAAACUGGCGGGCUUGAGUGCGGCAGAGGGGGGUGGAAUUCCGCGUGUAGCAGUGAAAUGCGUAGAGAUGCGGAGGAACACCGAUGGCGAAGGCAGCCCCCUGGGUCGACACUGACGCUCAGGCACGAAAGCGUGGGGAGCAAGCAGG